Long non-coding RNA from Pollicipes pollicipes, 897 nucleotides. RefSeq lists it as uncharacterized. NCBI's taxonomy places the organism in Eukaryota, Metazoa, Arthropoda, Thecostraca, Pollicipedomorpha, Pollicipedidae. The transcript has 3 exons. The record is from RefSeq and is a predicted model, not a curated record.
CGUAUAGUGUGUUAAAGAUGAGUUCGCGGGUGAUUCUACGCAAGGAGAAGGCCCAGCUUUUUAGAGAAAUUCGGGACAGGAAGGACACACUUGUUGGACGAUUCCAGUCCUGCAGUGGCCAGGCCAGGUGGCAGACCGGCUGGGAUGCCGUGCUGGAUCUGGCCAAGCAAGUAGGCCUAGUGAAGGGCAGCAUGGACGCCCGUGGCUUCCGCCACGGGCUCUAUGCCAACCAGUUGCGGUCCGAAGGGAGUUGGUGGCGGACACGAACCCUCGGCACACCUCCGGCACAGUCAGUCUCCCGCAGCGAUCAAGUGACAGUGAAUCCAGUGACAUCGCGAAGAUGCUGGUCAAGCUAGUGCUGCUGGUGUCGGCGGUCCUGCUGACGCUGCAGUCGGCGACUGCCUUUAUCCCCUGCAGAGGCGACGCCGACUGCGGUUCCGGAGGCCGCUGCGACACGACGCAGAAGUGCUGCACCACCGAGGGCUGCCUGACGCCGUGCAGUUGGGGCAAGUGGUGCUUCACGGAAUUGCCCAGACCCUGCGCGGCGCCUCCCCCAACACCUCCGCCCUGCUACUGUCCCACCACGAAAGCCUGCAAUCACGAGCCUUGGGGGUGAUGGACGGAAGAUGGAGGGCGGUUACAAGACGAUGGCCGAUGACCGAUGCGUAUGCUCGGUGUCGCGACGCGUAGUUGUCCGUGGAGGUACAUUGUAAAGUAUGCCUCUUACGACUGGUCGAAGCUGAGUUGUUCAGGUUGAGCUCGAUAUGCAUGAUAAAGGAUGUAGAGCGACGUGCAACUUUCGAGGAACGACAAUCUUUUCUAUGAGUUUUGAUUAUUGGAUUGUCCUAAUUGUGUGGAUGAGUGCAUGACUUGCAAUACAACACCGCAAAGAAAAAG